GACGAACGCUGGCGGCGCGCCUAACACAUGCAAGUCGAACGGAGCGUACCGACGGAAGCCUUCGGGUGGAAGAUGGUAUUGCUUAGUGGCGAACGGGUGAGUAACACGUGAAUAACCUGCCUCAAAGUGGGGGACAACAUUUGGAAACAGAUGCUAAUACCGCAUAAGACCACGGAACCGCAUGGUUUUGUGGCCAAAGGAGCAAUUCGCUUUGAGAUGGAUUCGCGCCCGAUUAGCUAGAUGGUGAGGUAACGGCCCACCAUGGCAACGAUCGGUAGCCGGACUGAGAGGUUGAACGGCCACAUUGGGACUGAGACACGGCCCAGACUCCUACGGGAGGCAGCAGUGGGGAAUAUUGCACAAUGGGCGAAAGCCUGAUGCAGCGACGCCGCGUGAGGGAAGAAGGUUUUCGGAUUGUAAACCUCUGUCUUCGGGGACGAAACAAAUGACGGUACCCGAGGAGGAAGCCACGGCUAACUACGUGCCAGCCGCCGCAGUAAAAC
This 503-nucleotide ribosomal RNA is filed under the name uncultured bacterium. RNAcentral's name for it is "bacterial SSU rRNA". It matches the Rfam family "Bacterial small subunit ribosomal RNA", at positions 28 to 526 of the family's 1533-position model. The record is from RNAcentral.